GAUGAACGCUGGCGGCGUGCCUAAUACAUGCAAGUCGAACGAACAGACGAGGAGCUUGCUCCUCUGACGUUAGCGGCAGACGGGUGAGUAACACGUGGAUCACCUACCUAUAAGACUGAUAUAACUUCGGGAAACCGGAGCUAAUACCGUAUAAUAUAUUGCACCGCAUGGUUCAAUAGUGAAAGACGGUUUUGCUGUCUCUUCUAGAUGGAUCCGCGCCGCAUUAGCUAGUUGGUAAGGUAACGGCUUACUAAGGCAACGAUGCGUAGCCGACCUGAGGGGGGGAUCGGCGACACGGGAAGGGAGACACGGACCAGACGCCUACGGGAGGCAGCAGUAGGGAAUGUGCCGCAGUGGGCGAAAGCAUGACGGAGCAACGCGGCGUGAGAGAUGAAGGUCUUCGGAGCGUAAAGCUCGGUUAUGAGGGAAGAACAAAUGUGUAAGUAACUAUGCACGGCUUGACGGUAACUAAUCAGAAAGCCACGGCUAACUACGUG
This 497-nucleotide ribosomal RNA is filed under the name uncultured bacterium. RNAcentral describes it as "partial 16S ribosomal RNA". It matches the Rfam family "Bacterial small subunit ribosomal RNA", at positions 28 to 507 of the family's 1533-position model. The record is from RNAcentral.